UAAAUGAUAAUUUAGGUUAGUACCAUGAUGAUGAUGAUGAUGAUCAUCAUUUGAUACUGUCACCUUCAUGACUGUCAACAUCAGAAUCAUAGUCUUCCUCAUUAUGUGUGAACGGACAACCAGUUUUGACUGCAUGUCCACAUCUUUUUCUUCUGGGCAUGCAUGCAGUAGGAGGAUUCUUUGGGAGCAGAUAGGACAGUUGAGAGAGGAGAUGCACAACAUCCAGUACCAGCUCAGCAAGUUGGCUUAUUCACAUCAAGCAGAGCUUUAAUCUCAUGUAUCCUGUAGUGGCCAUGUAACACAGAGGCAAUAAGCGUAUCAUUAAUUUACCUGUAGACAGUGAUUGCCUGUUUGCUUUUAUACUUGAGCUUUCUGGGCGUCAAUAAUUCAGUCAGCAUUGCCUCUCUAGUAAUAAGGCCCAGAUUUAAACUAUAACACUAUCUCCUUAGCUGAGGUCUUGAUCAAGGUGGAUCUUAACUGGUAUCAUCUCUGUGUAGAUCACCAAAGGGAGGACGUACAACGGAGACUGACUGAGUCAUUUUCCAAAGAUAGGGUAAGAGGUACUGGUUAUCACUGCUGGUGGUGUAUGGCAUUCUGAAUCCCAUGCCUUUGAGUCCAAGCUUUAUGUCCCCUUGAACCACAGUAUCUACAGUGUACCCAAACGAUGAAGUAAAACCUGACAGUCUGACUCUGUGGAAUGACGCACUCGAGAUAUGUAUCUGUCAGUAUGAGUGUGUUUUUUUUAUAUACUCCUUGUAAGGGCACGACUUUGAAGUAAUAGUUUCUUGGGUGGCAUUUGCAGUGCAUGGAGAGAAUGAUUGACUGCUGUAUGGAGAAAGAUGACAGACAGCGCAGAUCGCAGGACGGAGCUGAUAUUUCACAACUACAGAAUUCACUUCAGAAGAUAACCAUAUCUAAGGGGAAAGCUCCCAAAAAACCUGGUAAGUAGUUGUUGUGUUUUAAAAUUCAAGGAAGUAAUCUGCAUUCUUGUAAUACUUUUUGUAAGAACAUGAGGAAAACGGUUCCUUCCAAAGUCCUCCUUGGUGUGUGUGUCUGUGUUGUUCACUAGGGCGGGUGUUCAGACCAAUCACAACCAAAUCUCUGCUAACAAACUCAGACUCUGAUGACAGCUCUACUAGAAUUGGAUUGACGUCAUUAAAAAUCAAAAAGGAAAUAAUCCCAACAGCUCGGUAACCUAUUUCAAAAUGUAAUUCUGCUUGAUUAGAAAGCAGAAUUUAUAACCAUCUUAGUUUGUCUCUUUUGCAGCAGGAAAUAGAGCGCUGGAUUCCACAUCUGUGACUGGAGCUAGAGCUGAAAUACUCUGAGACAAACAACAUGUGCAGUAAAAAUCUGGAAAAAUACGUUUUUUUAUUUAUUUGUUAUACCAAGCAUAUAUAUAUAUAUAUACUGUAUAUAUAUUGUUGAUUCAAGAUAACUUAUUUCCUCUUUGCAAAGUUGCAAAUGUUCUCCUCUCAUGACUAUCUCUAUCUGUACCAUAGUGACCCUCUAUCACAGUAAGCAUAUACAGUACUAUCCAGGCAUUUUUCUGUUUUAGUGUUAUAGUAUUAUAGUGACAGACGUAUGUAGUACAUUUCGGCCAUAGAUUUGCAUAUUCUGAUUGUUUGUGUUAUAGUAUAAGUUGUUACUAAUGUAGCAGACUGCAUGAGACAGGGGGGGUCACUGCAGUAGUCUUCCCAUUGUUCCUAGCGCCUGUCCUGUAUUUUUGGAGACUGAAUGGUGCAAUCUAUUGCGAAUAGUUUUUUGAACUAUGAUAACUGAUCGCUUUGAUUAAGUGAAGCACAUUCAUCAAAAUAGGCCCAGAGAUGCCACCGGCCAUCUGUAGUCUGGGAUGUCAGUGGUAGAAAAUCACAGAAACAUGGUUGCUGGUUAUAUUAUUAUUGGUUAAAACUGCGGAUAAAUUCGCUGCCAGGACUAAACUAGUGUAAAUGUACGUGCAUGUUAUGAUCACUAGGUGGCAGUUGGACACCAUUGACGUGAGCCAUUCUAGUUUACUCACACAGAGGGGCUUUGAUUUCUCUUGAGGUUGCUGUAAGAUACAAGAGAUGAUGCGGUAAGAGACAAUAAAACACCUGUUGGUCUUUUGGACACAGGUGAAGUCAUGUGCCUAUGUGGAAACACAGAUCACCUUUUUGGAGAGAAUUUAGUUUUCGUUGACACAAAUGAAAGGUAGAUAAUUCAGCCUCCUGAUUUGGCUCCAUUUUUGUUUUUGUAUAUUCUUUACAAUGGAUAGCCAUGGAAAUCCAAUGCUGAGUAGGACUAGUAAUAGUCUCUCUCUUUGAACGAGCUGACUAUGUUUACAAAUAGACUUUGAUUCAUGAGAGUGAAUGUGUCAGUCAAGCCUUUGUGCCUCUCUCCUAGUGUUUGAUGACAGGUAGUCCUCUUUGUUCAGUUUCAUUCCCAACCAAGUCAUGGUAAUGUCAUGGCAUCUUAUGUCAGACCAACAAUGCAUUAACUUUAUUAUUGUAAUGGUAUUGAGUUGGUCACCUACGUACACUGUGUUCUGAAAAGAUCAAAAUCUCAGGUGAAUGAUUAUUGCAGGCCAGUUUACAUUAGAUUCAAGUUUUAGUCAAGAGCAGAUAAAUGAGAAAUGACUAGUAGUAGUUUUAUAUGACUAUCAUAAUUGACAUCGUUUACAUUGACUGUGUUUAAAUUAAAAGUGUUUUUAUCACACAGUUGAAUACAUUUCAAAUUUGAAGAAGUGAGUUUGUGGGCAGCCACUUUGAACAUAGCAGCUGCUGAGGAUAGCACAAGUUUUAGUUUUGGACUUGUCAAGGAUCAUCCACCGCAAACUCAUAAUUAGCAGAUGCACAUCAUCAUUGUUAUACAUUGUCCAUUGGAAUGAUCAUCCACCACAAACUCAUAGUUAGCAGAUGCACAUCAUCAUUGUUCAUUGGAAGAAUAAGAUCAGGAUAGAAGAUUCCCAUAAAGUCUAAUCCACUAUGACUCAUAGGGGGUAUAUGGGAUUAAGGAUAAAGAUUUCCGAGGGGUCAGUGAUGAAAGUUGUUAUCAAACAGUGGUAAGCAACACACACAUGGAGCAAAGGGUUGUGACACGUGGUGUCAUGUGCUCCGACAUGAACCCACAUUUUUUUGUAGAACGUUUGGUCCCUUGUAGAUAAAACACCACAUUGCUCUUUUCUUUUCACUGGGUUUAUUGCAACAUGCAUUAUACCUGAAUUCUGUGGCUGCUAUACCCCUAAUAGCUCAUGGAACGAUGUCUACAGGAUGAAAGCCUCACUUCAUCUUUCAGGAAGGUUUGGCAGAAGGCGUGUGCCUGUGUCCACUCAUUUAGGGCGUAUAAAACAUCACAAUAACUGCCAGCAGCGACAGAAUUCACUGUCACUCCAAAACAUACCAUGUCAGACACAACAGCGUGGCUAACAUUCUGUACUCCAUCUAUAUCAGCCUCUCACCAACUAGCCCAUUUUUACCUUUGGUUUUAUAACGCUGAGCCUUCAGACGGACUGAGAAGGUAUAAUCCCAAAUGACACACCGCCCAGAGAAGUGUGUGGGAGUCCCUCCUGUUGCUCAGAGACCUAAUAUAAGACUCAGUCACAAGAAAGUCAGCACUGCUACACCAAAAACCCUUCAGAUGGGAGAUGUUAGUCUUUCCUGUUUGCGAAGGCAUUCCCUCAGGAAGUGGAUGGCCAAGAAAGGAAAUGUGUCGUCCCCCCCCCCCGUUUAGCAGGGCUGUCCCAUGAACAGCUUAGCUGGUUUAUAGGAAAGGGCAUUGAGGGAUUACAAAGGGCUGACUCUGUCUGGAGGGUAAAUAGCCCCCUCCUGCGUCAUUAAGGAGGUGUAACGUGGUGUUGUUUGUUACCCUGGAGACAUCUCACCUUAAUGGGACCUGAGAGUUACUAUUCAUAACUCCAACGGCAUUUACGGGUGAAACUCCUUAUAUCCACAUAGAUUCACUUGUCAGUGUUUUUCAACCUAUUUUUAUAACCCACAUGUGUUUCGAACAUUGUUUUAAGGAAGUAAAAUCAAGCGUAAAUCAUUUGUUGUAUGGACACUACCUAUUAGAUCAACCCAUGCUGCAUUUGUGUUUACCACCUUGUGCCUGAAUGCACUUCUUCAACCUCUGCCACUGGGUCAAAGGGUCAGAUGGAUAUGCCAUUAGCUAAUGACCAUUCGUUUCUUUCUCAUCUUACUCUGGCUAAGUGAUGCAGGCACCAUUGAUUUGACAUAUCCCAGGCAAGGCAGCUCUUCCUGUGUGCUGUCCUCUUGGUCAAAUUGUAGCAUACGGUGACACAGUGACUUUGGUCCAUGGGAGAGAUCCAUUGGGCAUUCAGAACAGGGCAGCCUUGUACAUUGUAAUCUCGUAAUAACUGGCUAGUGCUAGAGUCAAGAUGAAGUCUGCAUUGCUAAAUGCUUCCUUGUUAAACUGUGUGUGUGCACGGUUGCCCUAGCAGUUGGAUUGGGAUUAGGGUCGAAAAGGGUGACUGUGAGGUGACACAAAGACACCAUGGGAACUACUGGCUGGAGUGAUUUCCCCUGGACGAGUGAUGACAAUGGGCAGAUUAAGGCCAAGCAGAGGCCACUCUCACUCAGCCAGUGGCUAAUGGUGCCCUUCGGACAUUCUCUGAACUGAAACCUGGGACAGGUGAUGUUGUUUGUUUAAAUUGCUGUAGAUUAUUGAAUCUAUAUCCUUGGUUUGUGGUAGAAAAACAAAUAAAUUGAUCCCCAUUUGAA
Long non-coding RNA from Clupea harengus (Atlantic herring), 4712 nucleotides. RefSeq lists it as uncharacterized. The transcript has 2 exons. Lineage: Eukaryota; Metazoa; Chordata; Actinopteri; Clupeiformes; Clupeidae. The record is from RefSeq and is a predicted model, not a curated record.